RNAcentral lists this ribosomal RNA (174 nucleotides) under uncultured bacterium. RNAcentral describes it as "partial 16S ribosomal RNA". It matches the Rfam family "Bacterial small subunit ribosomal RNA", at positions 1328 to 1500 of the family's 1533-position model. The record is from RNAcentral.
GGAAUCGCUAGUAAUCGCAGAUCAGAAUGCUGCGGUGAAUACGUUCCCGGGUCUUGUACACACCGCCCGUCACACCAUGGGGAGCCGGGAAUGCCCGAAGUCGGUGACCCAACCGUAAGGAGGGAGCCGCCGAAGGCAGGCCUGGUAACUGGGGUGAAGUCGUAACAAGGUAUC